AUCAGGCGUGGUAGCGCAUGCCUGUGGUCCCAGCUACUUGGGAUGUUGAGGUAGGAGGAUUGCUUGAGCCUAGGAGGUCAAGGCUGCAGUGAGCUGUGAUUGAGCCACUGCACUCCAGCCUGGGCAACAGAGCAAGACCCUGUCUCAA
Unclassified non-coding RNA from Pongo abelii (Sumatran orangutan), 148 nucleotides. It matches the Rfam family "Metazoan signal recognition particle RNA". From Rfam's summary of the family: The signal recognition particle (SRP) is a universally conserved ribonucleoprotein. It is involved in the co-translational targeting of proteins to membranes. Lineage: Eukaryota; Metazoa; Chordata; Mammalia; Primates; Hominidae. The record is from Ensembl.